AUGGCAAACAUUCUUAAAACCCACCCGACAUUCUGUAAGAAGUGUGGCAAGCACCAAUCCCACAAAGUGAUACAGUAGAAGAAGGGCAAGGAUUCUCCAUAUGCCCAGGAAAAGUGGCAUUAUGACAGGAAGCAGAGUGGCUAUGGUGGGCAGACUAAGCUGGUUUUCUACAAAAGGCUAAAAGUACAAAGAAGAUUGUGCUGAGGCUUCAGUGUGUUGAGACCAACUGCAGAUCUAAGAGAAUGCUGGCUAUGAAGAGAUGCAAGCAUUUUGAACUGGGAGGAAAUAAGAAGAUAAAGGGCCAAGUGAUAUCCAGUUCUAA
This 322-nucleotide long non-coding RNA is filed under the name Homo sapiens (human). Its description in RNAcentral is "non-protein coding lnc-PKN2-3:1". The record is from RNAcentral. Lineage: Eukaryota; Metazoa; Chordata; Mammalia; Primates; Hominidae.